CUCUCCUGCUCUGCCAUGGGAAGAUGUGCCUACUUCCCCUUUGCCUUCCACCGUGACUGUACAUUUCCUGAGGACUCCCUAGCCAUGCUUUCUGUACAGCCUGCUGAACUCUCUGCCCAAAUUUCAGCUGUCACAGAAUGAGUGAUCCUCAUAGUAUAAUGGAAAUGCAUCAUCUCAGUUUCCCCAUGGCCUGAAUGUCCAUACAAAAUGAGAGCCAGUAGAGAAAAACAGAGGACGUGAGGAGUUUUUAAAAAUUGAGGAAAAGUGGAAGGAAAAGUAAGGAUGAAGGUGAAGAUGAAGGAAUAUGUCAGAGAUGCUAGCACUGGCAUCCCCCACCACACAGUACCAUGUACUGCUAAAGAACUCUAGAACAUACAGGGUGUAGACGGCAGUCUUCUUGGGGAAAAAGAGGCUUCAGGAUUGCAAGAUUUCAGCUACUGUCUCUCCUCGGAGCAGGAUUCCAUCUUUUCCAUGGCUGGGGCCCUUGACACAUGUCACUGUGCACUGCUCUUCUCGCUGGGAAAAGGAAACUGAGGCCCAGAGAGGGCAAGUGAAUUUCCCAAGAGUGUCCAGAUGAUACGGAGCUGAGCUGGAAAGUGAGCCUGGAUCUCUCUGGUUCUGAAAGCUUUGCUCGAAAGCACAGGAUGACACCUCCAUUCAAUCAAUAAGCACUGAGACCCUUCCAUGGACUCAGCAGGUCCUGCUGUCCCUGAAGGUUGACACUCUCAUUUCAAACCACAGCGAGAACCCCAAAAGGAAACAGUGCAAGGAAAAUAAUGUGAUAUUUGAGAGGCAGCAUGGAUUAUUGGGGACAGGGUUCAUGUCCCUUCUCUCCCACACACGUGGCAUGAUGUUAAGCGGGUCACCUCACCUCUCCAGGGUUGUUUCCUCAACUGAGAAAAUGAGGGGGUUGAGAUGAACGCCAGCCCUGGGGUGCUCAAUGCUGCAGUCUAGGGUGGUGUGGACUGGAAUCAGAAUUCUUUCUCCUCCGCUCUGGGUGCUGACACAUGAUCUCUGGCUCUCACUCCCCACCCCUAAUCUUGCCCAUCUGAGUUUCAGGUUAUUUUUUCCUUCCUCCUGCUCUUCAAUUUCCUUAUUGAGGAAGCUCUUUCCUGCUGCCUCUGUCCCCGCUGGAGCUGUUUGAUCCAGUAGAGCCAGUCGAAGCCAAGGGGACCCUGACUUGAAUCUUGCUUUCUGACAUGCUGGCUGUGGCUUGCUUGGGACCUGAAUAAGAGCUUGCUUACUCCCGGUGUUCACCACAGCGGAACCAUGGGUGCAGAAAUGUAAUUCUCAACCAGCCCAGUUUAAUCAGCGAAAGACAAUAGAGCUUGCAGGCGGUGUCAUGCUGAGUAUCUGAACACACCAUGGCUGCUGUCGCCCUUUUCAUUAAAAUGAUUGAAAAUGUAUUUCUAAACAGAAGUGAGGGUCCCUGUCUAAAUCAAGCCGCUGUAUUGGGCUUAUUGUCCCGAUCUGAAGUGCUUCAGCUUCUAGUGCUUCUCAAUAGAAGUUCAUUAUUACAACGAUAAUAACAACUGUAUAGAUACACAGAAAAGAAGUUCCCAUUUCAUAAGGAAAAAAGAAACUCAUUCAAACCAAGAGAGAAUGAAAAUUGCUCUUGUUCAGCAGCUCUACAAUUCCUGCUUUCCCUUUCUGCUGGAAAGGAAGUUGAAUUUAAAAGCUUAUCUUGGUUCGAUUUUCUUUUUCCCUAAACCAAAAUAGAAUAGCUAUUUAGCUUGAAAAUUUGUAAGAGCUCAAGUCAAUUGGUUAACCAAACACACACACACACACACACACACACUUACAUGCGCAUCUUAAUAUCCUCAUUAUAUAAAAUCUCAAUCACCAAAAAUGACCCCCAAAAUUAUAAGACUCCAAUAUAUGAUUGAGCAAAGGACAUAAACAGAUGGUUCAUAAGGAGGAAAGACACAUGAUAAAAAAUAUGAAAAAAUUUUCAACACACAGAUAAUAAAAGAAAUUCAGAUGAUAACGAGAUAUUGUAGGUGCUAAUCAAAGUAUCAAAGAUUUUAAAAAUUAUAGCAAAAGAGUUCCUUGCUUUUGUGUAAUGAGUUCCCAGAUAAUAUGUGAAAUUCACUCAUCCUCUUCCAAAUCAACAUUACUGUCUGUGAAAUGAACAAUACAACCAAGCACACAGAUCCUAGCCUCUGCUGGGAAAAUCCCGUGUAAAUCCACCAUCCUUUUUGUUUCUUAAGUUCCUCCUUGGUAAAAAGUUGUUUGGCUCAUGCCUGUAAUCCCAGCACUUUGGGAGGCCGAGGCAGGCAGAUCACCUGAAGUCAGGAGCUCGAGACCAGCCUGGCCAACAGGGUGAAACCCCAUCUUUACUAAAAAUACAAAAAUUAGCUGGGCGUGGUGGCGAAUGCUUGUGAUCCCAGCUACUUGGGAGGCUGAAGCAGGAGAAUCACUUGAACCCGGGAGGCAGAGGUUGCAGUGAGCCGAGAUCGCGCCACUGCACUCCAGCCUGGGCAGAAGAGUGACACUCCAUCUCAAAAAAAAAAAAAAAAUGUUGUUUGUGUUCAGAUUCUGAAAUUUCACAAUUCUCCCCAGGUACUGUUUUUCUUUGCCCCAAAGCCUUUAAGUCUUCGUUGAUGGAUAUGUAGACACCUAAUAAGUAUUUGACCUGAAAGUGUCUUUCAAAGCAUAGAAUUCAGAUGGUGAUUUUACAAAUGAAGAGAGUGAGGCUCACACAUUCUGAAGGGGGGAGUCAGGCUUUUUACCAUAAAAGUUUUUCCUUGGGGUAAUGGUCAAUAUCCACCAAAAUCCAGGUGGCACAUGCUUGAUACCCUUCUGAAAAGACUUAGUCUACUUCACUACUGGUUUUAGCAGGGUAGAGCCAGGGUCUCAGAACACAAUGAGCUGCUCAGGUGAAAGAAGAUCACACUAGGAUUUCUGCUUUCUAAUGCACCAUCCUUUUUAAAUUUUCAUUUUUCUUACUGUUAUAAUGUAUAGGUUAGUAGAGCACUUUACUUCUUGGGGAUACAUAAUUAAAGUUGUUUUGCUGGUAGGAUAGUGUUAUCAAAAAUUUGCAGGCAGCUGGAAUAGUGAGAUGUGAAUGUGUCUGAUCUCGUGCAAUUCAGGAAGCAGGGCCUUCAGAGUGAAGGGAGGAAGGAAAGCUGGCUGUGGUCAGAGGAGAUGACCAGCAGAGCUCCUAAUAGAGGGCAAGAGUCACCUCCUCACCCCACAGGCUGCAUUGAGACUAAGGCAACUGGAAAGUUCAACUGAAUCACAAGGGCGUGCUGACAUGCUGGGGAAAAGCCAAAAUUUUUAAAGGUCAUCUUGCCAGAAAAGUGGCUGCUGCUUAGGUCCUGUCCUGGCACCCUGGGCCCAGGAUCCCAGGACUCAGCUCAUGGGGAGCAGAGGGCUGUGGCAUGCCAAGUCAAAGGUCUCAUGGAGAUGGUUCCAAUUGGGAAUCAAUGGCAGAGAUGCCAAGACAAGCUAAGGGGCAUGGCAAUCUGAGGAUCCAAGCCACCUAGCACAGACACAGGGACAGGCAAGGGAACUAGAGACCUUAGCAGCUUGUCAGAGGGGAAGCGGAAGGCAGCAGGGGCCCAGAAGCAAACUCCCUAUGUCAGAUAGAGGUGUGUGCAGUGAAAAUGAAGGGGGAACCAGAACCCCUUGCAGGAAAUGUCCAGUGGAACUCCAUGAAGUCCCUCGAGUCGUCUUUGAACCGCUGAGCCAGGUAUUAGAGGACCCACAGCACACUUCUGAGCCUCGUUUCUGUCUCUCUUACCUACCACAAACUCUGGACAAUCAGCUCGCACAUUUGUUCCUUUAUUCCCAAGGAGAACAUGAGGAAAGGACGUAGAUAUCACCCAAAUGUAUAAUUUACCAGGUAAGAAAAGCCCAAUGGCUUUCUAAUUAUUUCUGGAUGUCCCAGCAGCCUCUGUCAGGAGUGCAGGUGUAAGUAGCCUCAUGUGCCUUUGCUCCGGCCUCCUUGUGGGAGUCCAGUACCCCAACCCCAUCUUGGGAGAUGCCGCUGGUCCAACCUCAGGAUCUCCUAAUGGAGUCAAGAGGUAAGGCUGAUUUGAAUUCACCCUUCUUCUCCUUAAAGCUAGUGCAACUCACAGAAAAUUGAGAGCCAAAUGGGAAACAAACUGUCAGUUUUCCUAACGGGUAGGCAGGUGUGUCUUAACCCCCAAGGCUUUCUGGGGGAGCCAGAGAGGAGAAAGUGACUUAGACCUGAGGACAAAGGAGAUCCACCUGCUUCUCUAAUUGUAGACCUUAAGCCUGCCUGUCACAUGGACUGUAGCGUACUGAGCACAGGGGUGGUGCCGGGCAGGUACAGCUCCCAGCACUCUGCUGUGGACAUCCUAACUCGCUAGAAGUUGACUCAGUCACAAACUAUCUAAGUUUAUAGCUGAAGCUCUAGCACCUGUUCUAGAACAGGAGAAUCUGAAGGAGGAGAUGAACUGAAUUUAGCACUGAUUUUCUUUAAAAAUAUUUAUAGAAACUAUAACAUUUCUGAGUUAUCUAGAAAUGUUAUUUUUGUUUAGUUUGGCUUUCUUUUUUUUUGCUUUCAUCUGAAAAUUAAACAUUUUGAGGUAAUUGUAGAUUCACAUGCACUUGUAAGAAAUAAUACAGGGAGAUCCCUCUAUCUUUCACCCAGUUCCUCCAACUUGGUAGUAUCUUGCCAAACCAUUGUACUAUUUCAUACCAGGACAUUGACAUUGAUACCAUCAAAAUACAGACAAUUUCCUUGGCUACAAGAGUCCUCCACAUCCACUUCCCUCCUGCACCCACCCCUUCCUUAAUCCUUGGCAACCACUGUUCUCCAUAUCUAUAAUUUUGUCUUUGCAGGAAUGUUAUAUAAAUGGGAUUAUACAGUAUGUAAUCUUUUGGGAUUGCACUGUUUUUUUAUUUGCAGCAUAAUCCUCUGAAAGUUGUUGCAUGUAUCAAUAGCUUUUUAAUCUUUAUUGCUGAAUGGUAUUCCAGGGUAUGGCGUACUACAGUUUGUUUAACCAUCCACCUGUUGAAGGAUAUCUGGGCCGCUUCCAGUUUGGGCAAUUGCAAGAUGCUACAGACAUUGAUAUACAGGCUUUUUCAGACACUCUGAUCCAGACCACCCCACUGCUAGGAGAGUCUCCUGGUGGGGGACUCUAUUACUUUGCAUGAGGCUACCUUCUCACAUGGCUGCCCUGCUGACACCCCAUUGACUCCAGGGAAGGAAAUGGAAGGCUGAGACAGGAGAAGACAAAGGAAAGAGAGAGGGAAGGAUGGCGGUGGAGAGAAGAGAAAGGGAAAAGACAUUCUUGCUUGGAUCCCUACAGCAUUCCUGUCUGAUGGUUGAAGCUGGUACUAUUCUCCUUGUCCAGAUUUCCAAAAGACCUUGGCUCAGGUGUCACUUUUGCAGAAAAGCAUUUACUGACUGUUGACUUGGCCAAAUCCCUGUGCUGUGUUUCCUAGUACGGUAAAUCAACUGUAUCCAGUAGUGGGACAGAUGCAGCAUGAAAGAAGAAAGUUACAAUUGCUUUAUCUGAUGCUGUCACUCAUGCCUGGUGUUGAGAGGCGCACAUUUUAAAAAGUCUAAUAGCUCCGACAUAUCUAGGAAACAGAUGGGAAACAAAUGAAGCAUUGAUGGAUUCGCAAAUUCCAGUUCUUUGAUAUUUGUCUGCCCAGGAAUGGGUGGGACAGAGAAAUGUAAGGGAAUAAUGAGGAUACGGGUGGGGAAAGGCUUGCAAUUUUUCCCGUUCUUCUUUGGAUAUGGACUGAAGGAAGGAUGUGGGGAGGAGGUGUUUAUCUUUUGCUUGUACUCUGAACUUUUCCAAAGUUACUGCAUUCCUUGGGAUAUAAAACUGUAAUCAAGAGUCUCUAAUGGAUAACUGCAAUUAUGCAUUGAGUCAUUCAACAAAUACACAUUAAUACUGACUAAAUUAAGCUCGAAUGGAACUUCAGGGCAAAAGAACAGAGAAAAUAAAAUACCACUAGAGAAGGGAUCUGUGCUCUUUCCUGGACUUAAAUCUCCCACAGCCAGCACGUUUGACAGUUAAACUAGUCAAGCAAAUUAGCACAGGCCCAGAGGAUGAAAUCAAGGUGGGGGCAGGUAAGGUUCACAUAAUAAACACUCUCCCUAGACCCUGGACCUAGGGACAAUACUUCAGGAAGAAUUUUUUUUAUUAAUCUCAUUUAUUCAUUCAUGUAUUCACCAAGUAGUUAUUGAAUACCUCCAUGUGCCAGUCACCUUCAUAGGCUCUGGGAACACAGAGACAAAUGGGGUGCAGCUUUUGCCUUCGAGGACCGCCUGAUAAUGGAGGAGCAUGCUUGUUGUACUGUCCCCACACUUCUUUUUUUUUUAAUUUUACUUUAUGUUCCCGGAUACAUGUGCAGAACUUGCAGGUUUGUUACACGGUAUACGUGUGCCAUGGUGGUUUGCUGCACCUUUUAACCUGUCAUCUAAGUUCUCUCCCCUCGCCUCCCGCCCCCCAACAGGCCCCGGUGUGUUUUUGUUCUUCUCCCUGUGUCCAUGUGUUCUCAUUGUUCAAGCCCCAACUUAUGAGUGAGAACAUGUGGUGUUUGGUUUUCUGUUCCUGUAUUAGUUUGCUGAGGAUGACGACUUUCAGCUCCAUCCAUGUGCCUGCAAAGGACAUGAUCUUGUCCCUUUUUAUGGCUGCAUAGUACGCCCCCUGCACUUCUAAUAAAGAUGGCGCCAGGAAGGAAAGCCCAGUUUGCCUCAUUCCAGAAUGCCCCAACUUCUGCCAAAGAGGAGGUUUCCUCCAUUCACCUGUCCAUUUGGAACACAAUGAAAAUACAGAAUAUGCAGAAUAUGCAGAAAAUACAGAAUAUACAGAAAUAGAUGUAUAUGAAUAUACAUCUAUUUAAGAAAAAUUCACAAGGCCCCAAACUACUCUAGCUUUCCUAGGAAGUAGAGAAGACCCCCUCAAAAAAAAACACUGGCAAACUGAGCCUGCUAUUGGGGAAGGAAAUUCAAGACCAGGAAGGUCAGGACAUGUAUUCAUUAAAUGGCUAUAACACCUCAAUCCAAAUGCAGAGAAAUCUGAUGUACACGCUCCAAGAUAAGCAUCUCUAAGGUACAGUCAGUGGUCAAUUUUUCAACAUUUAUUUAAUAUCUUGCUAUAUUUAUGGCAUCGUGAAAUAGAUGCUGUAUUCCUUCUCUGAAAAUUUUCAAUUGAGGUGGGGACAUGAAUAAAUGUAUUAACCCAUUUAUGCCGGAGGUUGCAAUUUUUGUUUUCUGAAAAAUCAGACCUUGGUGAUGACCUUGAGCGGUAGGAUAUAAAAACUCCCAAAAGCCUAGCGUUUUAAUAAUGGAACACUAGGCAUAAGUAGCUUAAAACAGCAUAGAAAAGUCAUGUAAACUAUACAACAGUCAUGUAGAUAUGGUGCAUAUGGAGACACAGGGUUCCUGGGAAGGGCAAACCAUGGUACAGAGUUUACCAGGGAAGAGUUCCUAGGAGAAAUGAGCUUGGAACUGGAUGUUGGAAGAUCAUCACCAUGUGUGGUGGGGCAAGUCUUCAGCCAAACUUCCCUGGGGCUUUUUUUACUCAUCAAAAAAUGAGUACAAUGCACACAGAUUACAUGAAUUUUGUAAGGAUAAAAUAUGACAACAUUAGUAUGGCAUCCAUGCACAUAGGAGGCACUAAUGAAUAUCACAUUCCUUUCCCUUUUCUAUUUUAUGCUUUCCAUACUUGAUAUUAUUUAAUGAUAGAAAUGUUGAUGAAAAUAAGGAAUAGUACACCUCUCACACUUUCUAUAUUGAGCAUGCAUUACUCUUAACACAGAAAAAAUAAAGCACAAGAUUAAAAUAGUGUUUUAUUUGUAGAGUUUUGGUCUGAAAGAAGUUAACAGGUCCUUAGUAGUCACUUCACAGCAGAAAAUCAAAUGAGGGCUUCCCAGCCACACAGAAAUGUUAUUUUAAUCUGAUGUUCAGUGCCCUUCAGUUGCUAGUUAGACCCGCUUAGACUGAAACAGAUGCCACAAAUGCAAUGCUAUGUUCACCACCCAGUCGCUUUCCAAACACAGGGUAAGGAUUCAGGUCACUGUCCCCCAUCGACAAAAGAGCUUGAGCAUCACUGUCAUUGCUUCAUGCAGUCACAGCCCCGCUGGGAGGGACAGCCAUGACCCAGGCAGGUCUUGCCGGUAUCGGUGGUCAGAGACCAGGGACAGAAGAUGCACUGCCUGGAGUUGUCUUCUCCCAGGCAGCGUGCAUGGCUGCCUUGCAAGCACAGGCUUGCCCCAUCCGAAGCUCCAUCUUUGCUCAGGCUCAGAGAGGAAAAAUUUGCCAGCUGCGAGUGAAAAAUGUUCAGACCUCGAAAUCUUUCUGCAGCCCAUACUGGGUCACACUUGCAAUGCCCAAUACAAUUUUUGGCUAAGAAAUGCUUGUAAUUCAGAGAUAAACCUACGAUUGCAGGUUAUAUCACGGCGAGGAAAAAUUUGCUUUCCAGAGAAAUAUCACUUAUCUCAGACUUUUUAAUUCCUCUGAAAAAAAUAGGGGUUUAAGAAAUGGUGGCUCAGCUAUGAGUUCCAUCUCCGGUUACUAAGGCUUAUGUUCUGUUACAGGCUCAAUUUUCCUCCCUAAAAAUGACAUUGAAGUCCUAACCCGCAGUACUUCAGAAUGAUUACAUUCUGGUGACAUCUCUUCAGAAACAGGGUCUUCUUAGAGGUAAUCAAUCUGAAAUGAGGUGACUAGGGUGGACCUUAAUCUAAAAUGACCAGUGUCCUUUUAAAGAGGGGAAUUUUGGACACAGAGGCAGACAUGCCGAGGAGGAAGACAACAUGAAGAAGCACAGGAAGAAGACGGCCAUCCACAAGCCAAGGAAUGCUUUGGCCAGCAGUGCCCAACCUUUUUGGCACCAGGGACCAGUUUCACGGAAGACAAUUUUUCCAUGACUGUGGGUGGGGGAGGGGGAGUGAAUAGUUUCAGGAUGAUUCAAGCACAUUACAUUUAUUGUGCACUUUAUUUCUAUUACUACUACAUUGUAAUAUGUAAUGAAAUAAUUAUAUAACUCACCAUAAUGUAGAAUCAGUGGGAGACCUGAGCUUGUUUUCCUGCAACUAGGCAGUCCCAUCUGGGGGUGAUGGGAGAAAGUGACAGAUCAUCCGGCCUUAGAUUCUCAUAAGGAGCAUGCAACCUAGAUCCCUAGAAUGCGCGGUUCACAAUAAAGUUGGCACUCCCGAGAGAACUGAAUGCUGCCACUGAUCUGACAGGAGGCAGAGCGGUGAUGCGAGCGAUGGAGAGUGGAUGUAAAUACAGAUGAAGCUUUGCUUGCUCGCCCACUGCUGUGUGGCCUGGUACUGGUCUGUGGCCCAGGGUUUGGGGACCCCUGCUUUAGGCUACCAGAAGCCAGGAGUAAGGCCUGAAAAAGAUGCUUCCCCAGUGCCUUCAGAGGAAGAAUGGCUUUGCGAACACCUUGAUUUCAGACUUCUGGCUUCUGUAGCUGUGAGACAAUCCAUUUCUGUCAUUCUUUUUUUUUUGAAAUGGAGUCUCACUCUAUCGCCAAGGCUGGAUUGCAGUGGCACGAUCUCGGCUCACUGCAAGCUCUGCCUCCCGGAUUCAUGCCAUUCUCCUGCCUCAGCCUCCCAAGUACCUGGGACUACAGGCGCCGGCCACCACGCCUGGCUAAUUUUUUUUUUUUGUUUUGUAUUUUUAGUAGAGAUGGGGUUUCACCAUGUUAGCCAGGAUGGUCUCGAUCUCCUGACCUCGUGAUCCGCCCACCUCGGCCUCCCAAAAUGCUGGGAUUACAGGUGUGAACCACUGCACCCUGCCACAUUUCUGUUCUUCUAAGCCACCCAGUUCAUGGUACUUUGUUAUGGCAUCCCUAGGAAAUGAACAUGUGUGCAGUAGAGCAUUUUCCCACUAAAAGGUAAAGACAUCCAAGUUCCACCUAGACAAUUACAGGGUUGCAAGACUCCUGGACAGGGGAAACAAACCAAAGAAAUCGCUCAUUGGAAAUAGGUGUGACCAGAUUUGGUGCUCUUCCCAUAAUGUGGGCUGGGGCACUUGGUUCUGUCCUCACCUUCAUGUACCUUCUGUUUUCUAUUUUAACAAAUAAAUCUCAAUUGCUUAGGGUACUCAGUUCCAUGAUGUGUUUGUUUUUCUGCAACUCAGCUCACCCUCUCCUCCUCAGAGAGGCAGACCUAAAGUUCCUGAGAACAGGGCACCCAUGUCAGAGACUUGUGGAAGAGGGACCAGGUCUCUGGGCUUCUCUGCUUCCUGCUGGAUUUUGCUGUUUUCUCUAGGGCUCUGUUUAAUGGUGCUGUGCCGGGAGAGUGAUUUCUGCACUAUCUUUCUGGAAUUGGGAGGGGCACAGAAGCAGGAAAAGUGAAUUCCAGGAAAGUUGUUGCAUGUUGGAAGCUGUGUUGUGGGGAAGUGACAAGUUGCUUGCUAUCUGAAUGGGGAUGGGAUCCUUUGUGAAGGCAGCAUGAAUCACCAACAGGUAGGAUUAGAUGGAUGAUGGUUGUAUUUGGAAUUGUAGCCACACCCUUGGGACUGCAGCCCUGUGAAGACUGAGGUUCUGACGAAAGUCAAGAAAAAUCUGCAUUGCAACUCUUCGAAGAGAAGAAUGUGACAUCUUGUGUCGUUUUCCAGAGGCAGCUGCAUAAAUCACAGGAGACUGAAUACAGGAGAAGAUGUAAGAAUCCAGUCAGCUUCUAUCAAACCAGACAUAAAAGACAUUUGCAGAUAUGUAAAACAAUGCCACUCUUCACAUUGCAUUUUUAAAAAAUAUUAUUUCCCAGAAAAUAUAUCAUCUAUGUUAAUAUGGAAUGGGGUUUGUUAUUCUUAUUUUAAGUAAGGUAUUAUAUAAAUAUUUUUAAUGUCUCAGUUUUAAUUUCUAAUGAAGUCAAUAUCAAUAGAUGUAAUCUAUAUAAACCAAAGUUCUCCGGGGUCUUCAAGAGUGUAAAGGAGUCCUGAGAUCAAAAGGGAUGAAAACCUCUGCCCUACCCUGGCCACCUAAGGGGCUGAAGCCCUCCAGGAGCAGUGCUCCCGGCUCUUGCUGCUGCCCCAGAGCUGAGGGUUUUGGAGCACUGGUGCCCUACAAAACGGAGAGACUGGAAGGAGUUUUCUGGGUCAUGAGGUUGGAACUGCUGGCAGAAGAUCACAGCAUAACUUUCUUCUGGGUUAUAGGAAGAAAUAUAUAAGUAGA
This 11111-nucleotide long non-coding RNA is filed under the name Homo sapiens (human). RNAcentral describes it as "non-protein coding LINC00589:14". Lineage: Eukaryota; Metazoa; Chordata; Mammalia; Primates; Hominidae. The record is from RNAcentral.